Armillaria luteobubalina is the source of this 102-nucleotide non-coding RNA. The record is from the annotation of a GenBank genome assembly. Lineage: Eukaryota; Fungi; Basidiomycota; Agaricomycetes; Agaricales; Physalacriaceae.
UCUCUGGUAGUAUAUCGGUUAGUACACGCGCCUGUCAUCCAUAUUCGUAUAGGAUGAGGCUAACGUCCGCGCGAAAGCUGGGUUCGACUCCCAGCCAGAGAG